UACGGAGGAUGCGAGCGUUAUCCGGAUUUAUUGGGUUUAAAGGGUGCGUAGGCGGAUCGAUAAAUCAGUGGUGAAACCCUGCAGCUUAACUGUAGACUUGCCGUUGAUACUGUUGGUCUUGAGUGUGGUCAAGGUAGGCGGAAUGUGUAAUGUAGCGGUGAAAUGCUUAGAUAUUACACAGAACACCGAUUGCGAAGGCAGCUUACUGGGCCAUUACUGACGCUGAUGCACGAAAGCGUGGGGAUCGAACAGG
RNAcentral lists this ribosomal RNA (253 nucleotides) under uncultured prokaryote. Its description in RNAcentral is "partial 16S ribosomal RNA". It matches the Rfam family "Bacterial small subunit ribosomal RNA", at positions 524 to 776 of the family's 1533-position model. The record is from RNAcentral.